GAUGAACGCUGGCGGCGUGCCUAAUACAUGCAAGUCGAGCGAACAGACGAGGAGCUUGCUCCUCUGACGUUAGCGGCGGACGGGUGAGUAACACGUUGAUAACCUACCUAUAAGACUGGGAUAACUUCGGGAAACCGGAGCUAAUACCGGAUAAUAUAUUGAACCGCAUGGUUCAAUAGUGAAAUACGGUUUUGCUGUCACUUAUAGAUGGAUCCGCGCCGCAUUAGCUAGUUGGUAAGGUAACGGCUUACCAAGGCGACGAUGCGUAGCCGACCUGAGAGGGUGAUCGGCCACACUGGAACUGAGACACGGUCCAGACUCCUACGGGAGGCAGCAGUAGGGAAUCUUCCGCAAUGGGCGAAAGCCUGACGGAGCAACGCCGCGUGAGUGAUGAAGGUCUUCGGAUCGUAAAACUCUGUUAUUAGGGAAGAACAAAUGUGUAAGUAACUAUGCACGUCUUGACGGUACCUAAUCAGAAAGCCACGGCUAACUACGUG
Molecule: ribosomal RNA, 497 nt
Filed under: uncultured bacterium
Lineage: Bacteria
Description: partial 16S ribosomal RNA
Rfam family: Bacterial small subunit ribosomal RNA
Source: RNAcentral